GGAACAAUGUAGGCAAGGGAAGUCGGCAAAAUGGAUCCGUAACUUCGGGAAAAGGAUUGGCUCUGAGGGCUGGGCUCGGGGGUCCCAGUUCCGAACCCGUCGACUGUUGGCGGGCUGCUUGAGCCGCUAACGUGGCGAGAGCGGACCGCCUCGUGUCGGCCGGGGGACGGACUGGGAACGGCUCUUUCGGGAGCUUUCCCAAAACUUGGUGUGUUUUACAAGUGAGGGGUGAUCCCCUUUAUAUACACCUUCUCCUCCUCAACGGACGGUCCAGAUCAAACCGAUCUAACGGUUGUGAGUGUUCUUCUCAAAUGUUCUACACUCUUCUACACUUCUCUACACUUC
RNAcentral lists this ribosomal RNA (345 nucleotides) under Brassica oleracea var. oleracea. RNAcentral's name for it is "rRNA LSU_rRNA_eukarya". It matches the Rfam family "Eukaryotic large subunit ribosomal RNA", at positions 1892 to 2086 of the family's 3401-position model. Lineage: Eukaryota; Viridiplantae; Streptophyta; Magnoliopsida; Brassicales; Brassicaceae. The record is from RNAcentral.